Molecule: unclassified non-coding RNA, 1294 nt
Filed under: Hevea brasiliensis (rubber tree)
Lineage: Eukaryota; Viridiplantae; Streptophyta; Magnoliopsida; Malpighiales; Euphorbiaceae
Source: RNAcentral
AAUUCAAUGGCUAAAGUUUGUUGGCCAUACUUUGAUCCUGAGUAUGAGAACUUGAGCACUAGAAUCAAUCCACCAAGGGUAUCUGUUGAUAACACUAGUUGCAAUGAUUGUACUCUAAUAAAGGUUGACAGCAUGAACAAACCAGGAAUUCUGCUGGAAGUCGUGCAAAUCCUAACUGAUCUUGACCUUAUCAUCACCAAGGCUUACAUAUCCUCAGAUGGAGGAUGGUUUAUGGACAUAUUUCAUGUCACUGAUCAACGAAGAUCAUGGAUGGUAAAACCAUUGACUACAUAGAGAAGGCUUUAGGUCCAAAAGAGUACAACAAAGAUGAAUUGAAGGCUUGGCCUGGCAAACGGGUAGGAGUGCACUCUGUUGGUGAUCACACGGCCAUUGAACUCAUUGGCAGGGAUCGUCCAGGUCUCUUAUCUGAGAUUACUGCUGUCCUUGCCAACCUUCACUUCAAUGUGGUUGCUGCUGAAGUUUGGACACAUAAUAGACGGAUAGCUUGUGUCGUUUAUGUCAAUGAUGACACUACUUGCCGUGCUGUUGAUGACCCAAACAGAUUAUCUGUUACGGAGGAGCAGCUUAAGAACAUUUUACGUGGCUGCGAGGAUGAUGAGAAAGCAGCUCGUACCAGCUUCUCCAUGGGGUUCACCCAUAUUGAUCGAAGGCUACACCAAAUGUUUUUUGCAGAUAGGGAUUAUGAAGGUGUCGGAGUGACAAAUGAGGUUGAUUAUCCUGCCUCCUUCAAGCCAAAGAUCACAGUUGAGCGUUGCGGGGAAAAGGAUUAUUCAGUGGUUAGUGUUUGGUGCAAAGAUCGAGCAAAAUUGCUGUUUGACAUUGUGUGCACACUCACAGACAUGCAAUAUGUUGUUUUUCAUGCCACAAUAUCAUCUGAUGGCCCCCAUGCACUGCAGGAGUAUUAUAUCCGUCACAUGGAUGGUUGCACACUUGAUACUGAAGGAGAGAAAGAAAGAGUCAUCAAAUGUCUUGAAGCUGCAAUUGGGAGAAGAGUAAGCGAGGGUCUGAGCUUGGAGCUCUGUGCAAAGGACAGAGUAGGCUUGCUGUCUGAAGUAACAAGGGUUCUGAGAGAGAAUGGAUUAUCUGUUACAAGAGCUGGCGUAACAACAGUCGGAGAGCAAGCAAUGAAUGUAUUUUAUGUGAGAGAUGCUUCAGGGAACCCAGUGGACAUGAAGACUAUCGAAGCUCUUCGAAAAGAAAUUGGACACACCAUGAUGCUUGAUGUGAAAAAACCUACUGCUAGUGCAAGGGAACCUGAAGCCAAAGGAUGGGC